UUGGAAAGUGGCACUUUUCAUCUGGUAGUUUCUGUACAUUUGGGAGAGUCUGAGCCCCCGCACCACAUAUGAACCUCUGUCCAGGAGGAGGGAAAGGUCGUGGUCUCUGGAGUACUUAGGUUCUGAGCCUCCUUCCUCUGCAGCCUCCGAUCUCCUCACACCCUCUGUGCCCGUGUCAUGGAAGUGGUUAGGGCUGGCGUGGAGGGUGGCACCUGAUCAGGAGUGAACCACUUUCCUGAGAAUCUCUGGAUUUGAAGGGGCAGGUGCAUUGAUGUGAGAUGGCUCUGGGUUCGAAUCCCGACGUCUUGAGAUGUUCACUGAGUGACUGUGGGCCCUGUGGCCUCCCAUCUCUGACUCUCAGAGGCUGUAGUAAUGCCGUUUCUGCCCUCUGCAAGGUCCAGGCCUGGCAGAACCCUCUGGCAGGCAUCUAGGGAAACCCCAGAAGGCUCCGGGGGCCUCCCUCCCUCCCAUCAGAUAGUGUCCCCAGGCAGAGAGGCGGUUCCUGACGGCAGGGUGGCUGAUCUCCGCAUCCCUCCUCCUUCCAGCCGACUUAAUGAAGCCAAGUUUGCAAAUGAAACAUAAUUUCAAAGACAGGCAUGUUGUUGGAAGGUCUCGGGAUGAUCUGUGUUUGUGGCCGCUCCUUAGCAGCUGUCUCUUUAAUUACUGCAGAUGCUAACGAGGUGCCCGGAGCAUCUGGUUACAGGGACAGAGCCACUGUCUGUUUGCCAGGGCCCCCAGGGGGGAGGUAGCACGGCC
Molecule: long non-coding RNA, 756 nt
Filed under: Marmota monax (woodchuck)
Lineage: Eukaryota; Metazoa; Chordata; Mammalia; Rodentia; Sciuridae
Source: RNAcentral